Non-coding RNA from Henosepilachna vigintioctopunctata, 73 nucleotides. Lineage: Eukaryota; Metazoa; Arthropoda; Insecta; Coleoptera; Coccinellidae. The record is from the annotation of a GenBank genome assembly.
GCCUCCGUAGCUUAGUCGGUAAAACACUCAACUGUGGUGCGGUAAGAUUUGGGUUCGAACCCCAGUGAAGCCA